RNAcentral lists this ribosomal RNA (471 nucleotides) under uncultured bacterium. Its description in RNAcentral is "bacterial SSU rRNA". It matches the Rfam family "Bacterial small subunit ribosomal RNA", at positions 355 to 840 of the family's 1533-position model. The record is from RNAcentral.
UCGAGAAUCUUCGACAAUGGGCGCAAGCCUGAUCGAGCGACGCUGCGUGCAGGAAGAAGGCCUUCGGGUUGUAAACUGCUGUCGUGUGGGAAGAACUUUGACGGUACCACACAAGAAAGGGGCGCCUAAUCUCGUGCCAGCAGGCGCGGUAAUACGAGAGCCCCGAGCGUUAGCCGGAAUGACUGGGCGUAAAGCAUCCGCAGGCGGAUAUGUGCGUCUGCUGUUAAACCCUUGGGCUCAACCCAAGGUGUGCAGUGGAUACGGCAUGUCUAGAGGCAGGGAGAGGUUAGGCGGAACUCCUGGUGAAGCAGUGAAAUGCGUUGAUAUCAGGGGGAACACCAAUUGCGGAGGCAGCUAACUGGUCCUGUCCUGGCGCUCAUGGAUGACAGCGUGGGGAGCGAAGCGGAUUAGAUACCCGCGUAGUCCACGCCGUAAACGAUGCCCGACUAGGCAGUUGGGAGUAUUGACCCU